UUCGCGGCCUAAGAGGGGAGAGCGGUUUUGACACUGGAACUGAACGUCCAAAAACAGACUUAAUGCAACGUAGCUGCAGGAGGUGGGCCCUGAGAGCGAGCGUGUAGUUUUAAAGUGGUAAUUCCAUUUUGUAAUUAUACCUAGUAAGACGAAGUGAAUAAUGAUUAUGAUAAUAACUGAGGCCAUAAGUUAAACGUUUCGUUCUAAAUAUUACAAUUUUUUUUUUACUUGGCUGUAUAAACACAAUUGCUCAACUAUAGGUGAAGGAAGACUGGAAAGGCAGGGCAUGUCACCCCUUUCUCUCUCUCCCUUUCCUCAUCCCCCCUCCCUUCCUCCCUUUUGUUGAGACCCUUGGUGCUGAACCAGAGCCUUCCAGACUCCUCGCAAAGCAACUGGCAAAACAGAUAAGCUGUAUGGGACAGAUUGUGAAACAGACGCAGUGGUGGCUAGGUGGCCAGCUUGCCUGUAAGCCCUGACUGCUACUGCUCUGCUGGCAGAAGAGGAAGACAGACUGUGGGAAGGCUCUGAAGAUUAAAGUCCCAUGCAGUCACAGCCCUGAUGGAUCAUGGAGAGCACUGUUGCUCACCAACCUACGUCUGAGCUGCUACCAGGGCCUCCUCUGCGAGAACCCCCGAGUACAUCUGGAAAGAAACCGUCAAAACACUGAACCCAGUCACCUUUCUACCUGCUGAGCCGGGUCCUGCAGACCAUGACUGCACUGAAGCAGCCAAUGAGGUUUACUCCAGUCAUCCAAACCUCACAGACCAGCCUCUGCCUUUUCCAGACCACACCCUCUGCACUGAUGGAUGUAUCUUCCUGCUGGCUGGUAAGCGCCUGGCAGGCUAUGUGGUGGUAACAGAAACAACUGGUGGUACCCUCCCAGUGUUCUGGUCAGCACAGUGGGCAGAGCUGCCAGCCUGGAUCAGAGUCCUGGGAAUUGAGCAAUGGACAAAAGGUAAUCAUCUACAUGGACUUGAGAUAUGCUUUCACCACCCUACACAUACACGGACCUCUGUACAGGGAAAGAGGACUUCUCAGUGCAGGGAGUGUUAGGAAAAGAGAUGCAGAACAGAGAGGAGGCAGAAUGCGACUGACUGAAAUUAUUUAAGCCAGACUAAAUUUAUUCAGAGGAAAUAAAUCUGCAGAGGUGGGUGACCAACUGCUGGGGUGCACAUUGAUGGAACAUGCUGCAGGAGGCACUGACCCCAGGGGCCGGGCCUUUUUAUAUCUUAGGUAGGCUGGGGUUAGGGGUAGGAGUAGGGGGUAGCAGGCAGAGGUGAAUGUCUCCAUACUGGUUUUUCAUGUGGCUGCUGGGCCUCCAAACCUGGGGAAGAGUGUGGGGCUGGAGUGUAGACAAUAGGGUGUGAGACCGAAUUGAGAUUCAAGGACAAGGAAUAAAUUCUAUCUUUGGACAAUGAGUCAGAAUGGCUGAGGUUUAUGUCUUUGUUCCAUCAGGGGAAAAGGCCAUUAAAAACUGAGCUGAGAUAUUUUGGCCCCUGGAAGUGGUCUGGGAGCCUGCAGCUGCUGCUGUUAUUUACCGCUGAGGACAUCAAAAGGGAAAAGACCCCAUAACUAAGGGAAACCAGAAGGAAGACCUAGAGACAAAACAGGGAGCCACGAUGAUGAUUCUCCAGACCCCUUUGGCAAUAUGGAUUGUCUCGGCUUUGCCUGAACACCCAAACUGUCCCAGAAGAAGAGAACUGGAUAAUAGGAGAAAGGGUAUCAAGAGUUCAGAUAAGAGGGCGGGGUUGGGGCAGAACUCGGUGCUGUGGUGUAGUAGGUUAAGCAUCUGCUUGCAGCACCAGCAUCCCAUAUGAGCACCAGUUCAGGUCCUGAGUGCUCUAUUUCCCAUCCAGCUCCCUGCUGAUUGUCUGGAAGAUGACCCAAGUUCUUGGACCCUUUGCACCCAUGUGGGAGACCUGGAAGAAGCUCCUGGCUCCUGGCUUCAGAUCGGUGCAGCUAUGGCUGUUGUGGCCAUUUAGGGAGUGAACCAGCAGAUGGAAGACCUCUACUCUGUCUUUCCUUCUCUCUCUGUAAU
Molecule: long non-coding RNA, 2038 nt
Organism: Lepus europaeus (European hare)
Lineage: Eukaryota; Metazoa; Chordata; Mammalia; Lagomorpha; Leporidae
Exons: 3
Source: RefSeq, a predicted model, not a curated record